This 207-nucleotide long non-coding RNA is filed under the name Eucalyptus grandis. RNAcentral's name for it is "long non-coding RNA (EGRA_LNC006895)". Lineage: Eukaryota; Viridiplantae; Streptophyta; Magnoliopsida; Myrtales; Myrtaceae. The record is from RNAcentral.
CCUGCCUGCUCAUUCUUUGCUGACCCGAGACCUCUCCCUCCGCCAUUCUUCGUCUUCGUUUUGUCCUUCCAAUUUUCUUCUUCAAUGGCAAAGGUUGAGGUGCUUCAUGAUCCGUGGGCUCCCAAAACUUGCUACUUCUAAUUGGCUGCAUCAUGAACUGAUAGGAAGCAAGAUAUUUUGAUUUAUGGUACCAAUCAUCGAUGUAAU